UCCCAUAUUGAAAAAAAGGAUCGAUCAAAACAAAAGCCAGAGAUAUGGAGCAAAACCCCAUCGCCCACCACUACACCACCCGACGACGGCGAUGAGUGAACUCCACCGCUUCACAGUCCUACCAACCAACGAUGACGCUGAGUGAAUAGCCGGCUCUCUGGCGGCUAGGGUUCCGCUGGAAACCCGACAAAGGAGAUGAUCGGAGGUUGUCGGCUCUUCUGCGUGCUCUUGUCCUGGUUCUUCAAUUUUUGGUCAGAUCUAAUUCACAUAGUAAAGGGAUUUUAGAUUUCAUCUGGCUUGAUGGUCCAAUUUCCCUAUUUUGAAAGGGUAAAAGAAAAGAGAAAAAACUCACAAGCAGCGAACCAUAGGAUGGAGGUAGUAGGAGGCGUCAAUCGAACCAGAAAAACCAGAUAAAAUAGAUGACCAUGAGCAGCGAAACUUCAUGCGAUUUAAUCACAAGCAUCAGACCAAACUAGAAGCAAAAAUCAGGUCCAUCACACAUAUGUAGCUGCUAGAUCUUAUGGUGCUUUUAAAAGGUCCCAAGCGUGGAAAACCAUCCGACGUAUUGAGAAUGAGGCAGAUGCUCAUAAAACUUAAGCACCACAGCCCUCUUCACCUUAAAUAAAUGACACUGCCGCCUGCUGAUAUGUAUGUCAAGGCCGAUGCAGCUAAAGUUCCUAUUGUUGUUGCUUAAGUGUGUUAAUGGUGUUUCUGUCACCUCUCAGUUUUGUCAAUAUAUAAUAGUUCAUUGAGGGAGGAUUUCGAGUUUUAGACGUGAAUGUAAGGGUGUCCGGGGCACCUUAGGUGACCCCUUUAGGUGACUCCAUUCACCUAUUAGGUGAGCAUUGCCAACACUUAGGUGAGUUAGAG
Molecule: long non-coding RNA, 870 nt
Filed under: Helianthus annuus (common sunflower)
Lineage: Eukaryota; Viridiplantae; Streptophyta; Magnoliopsida; Asterales; Asteraceae
Description: sRNA HanXRQr2_Chr09g0402611
Source: RNAcentral